This is a long non-coding RNA of Centropristis striata (black sea bass), 398 nucleotides long. RefSeq lists it as uncharacterized. The transcript is spliced from 3 exons. NCBI's taxonomy places the organism in Eukaryota, Metazoa, Chordata, Actinopteri, Perciformes, Serranidae. The record is from RefSeq and is a predicted model, not a curated record.
CAAUAGCUGAUGUUGGCCACUAGAGGGAAGCAAGAAACAAGUUGUAAACAUUGUGGGCAAACGGCUGCUUUACACAUUCAGCAGCUACGGAACAACCAAAAGUUACCAUCAUUUGGAGUCAUGUCUCCGUUCACCUGGCGAAUUUAAGUCCAAAAGAUGUGCCUGAUGUCCCUCUGAAGCUUGUCCUUGUCGAGGCGGGAUUUGAUGUCACCUAUCUGCCUCACUGACUCAAUGGCGUCGUGCACUGACAGGAACGCUGUUAAAAAGAGAAAAGGGGUGGACAGAGUAUAACCAGACAAAAUGCAUUGAAGGAUCGAGGCCAAGGGCUCGCAACAGAAGGCUUUAUCAACGCCUCUCACACCUUCAUCAUCACUCCUACAAGGGGCACCAAGGUCAUA